UAGUUGCCUAUUUUCCUGGGGGCGGUGCCGCUUGUGGACCCGAUGGACCCCGGCGAGGCCGCCAUUUUGGAGUCUUCCCUAAGGAGCUUCUACCGGCUUUUCGCGCCGCUGCCGCCGCUGCCAGCGGCCUUGCCGGGCAGGAUGAAUGUGAUAGACCACGUGCGAGACAUGGCGGCCGCGGGGCUGCACUCUAACGUGCGGCUCCUCAGCAGCUUGUUACUUACAAUGAGUAAUAACAACCCUGAGUUAUUCUCCCCAUCCCAGAAGUACCAGCUCUUGGUGUAUCACGCAGAUUCUCUCUUUCAUGAUAAAGAAUAUCGGAAUGCUGUGAGUAAGUAUACCAUGGCUUUGCAGCAGAAGAAAGCCCUAAGUAAAACUUCAAAAGUGAGACCUUCAACUGGCAAUUCUGCAUCUACUCCGCAAAGUCAGUGUCUUCCAUCUGAAAUUGAAGUGAAAUACAAAAUGGCUGAAUGUUAUACAAUGCUAAAACAAGAUAAGGAUGCCAUUGCUAUUCUUGAUGGGAUUCCUUCAAGACAAAGAACUCCCAAAAUAAACAUGAUGCUGGCAAAUCUAUACAAGAAGGCUGGUCAGGAGCGCCCUUCAGUCACCAGCUAUAAAGAAGUGCUGAGGCAGUGCCCAUUAGCCCUCGAUGCCAUUCUAGGUUUGCUGUCCCUUUCUGUAAAAGGCGCAGAGGUGGCAUCGAUGACAAUGAAUGUGAUCCAGACUGUGCCUAACUUGGAUUGGCUCUCUGUGUGGAUCAAAGCAUAUGCUUUUGUGCACACUGGUGACAACUCGAGAGCAAUCAAUACCAUUUGUUCACUAGAGAAAAAGUCCUUAUUGCGAGAUAACGUGGACCUGCUGGGAAGCUUAGCAGAUUUGUACUUCAGAGCUGGAGACAAUAAAAACUCUGUCCUCAAGUUUGAACAGGCACAGAUGUUGGAUCCUUAUCUGAUAAAAGGAAUGGAUGUAUAUGGCUACCUCCUGGCAAGAGAAGGGCGGCUAGAGGAUGUGGAGAACCUUGGCUGCCGCCUUUUUAAUAUUUCUGAUCAGCAUGCAGAACCCUGGGUAGUCUCUGGGUGUCAUAGCUUCUAUAGCAAACGUUACUCUCGGGCCCUCUAUUUAGGAGCCAAGGCCAUUCAGCUGAAUAGUAAUAGCGUUCAAGCUUUGCUACUUAAGGGAGCAGCACUUAGAAACAUGGGCAGAGUCCAAGAAGCAAUAAUCCACUUUCGGGAGGCUAUACGGCUUGCACCUUGUCGCUUAGAUUGUUAUGAAGGUCUCAUUGAAUGUUACUUAGCUUCCAACAGUAUUCGUGAAGCAAUGGUAAUGGCUAACAACGUUUACAAAACUCUAGGAGCAAAUGCACAGACCCUUACCCUUUUAGCCACUGUUUGUCUUGAAGACCCAGUGACACAGGAGAAAGCCAAAACUUUAUUAGAUAAAGCCCUGACCCAAAGGCCGGAUUACAUUAAGGCUGUGGUGAAAAAAGCAGAACUACUUAGCAGAGAACAGAAAUAUGAAGAUGGAAUUGCUUUGCUGAGGAAUGCACUAGCUAAUCAGAGUGACUGUGUCCUGCAUCGGAUCCUAGGAGAUUUCCUUGUAGCUGUCAAUGAGUAUCAGGAAGCAAUGGACCAAUAUAGUAUAGCACUAAGGUUUAGAAUCUAGGGGUUGCCAGUAAUUUCUUUCAUCCUGUGAAGCUGUCCUUCCACAGUUUCCUGGCCUCUACUGAUACUGUGAAGUCAGCGGUGUCACUCCCUCCUGUGAAGGUAAAGGUAAUGUCUCUUUUUUUACUCUGUUGCUUUUAAGAUUUUCUCUUUGUCUUAGAUUUUCUGCAGUUCAAUAUACCAUGUCUGGGGCAGGAUUUCUUUUUAUUUAUCCUGUUUGGGAUUUGUUGGCAUUCUUGCAUCUGUAGGCUGCUGUCUUUUAUCAGCUCUAGAAAAUUCUCAGUCAUUAUCUCUUCAAAUAAUACCCUUCUCAUACUUUUGUCAUUUGAAACUAUGAUGAAAUGUAUGUUUGACUUUGUCAGCUUUUCAGUCUAUCUUCCAGGUAUUUUAAUCUUUCUUCUAUAUUUUCUAUCUUUUUUUCUUUUUCUCUGCUGCAUUCUGGUUAAUCAUUUUUUUAAUUAAAAUUUCUUUUUUAAGUUUAUUCAUUUAUUUUGAGGAGAGAGAGAGAGAGAGAGAGAGAGAGAGAGAGAGAGAGAAAGAAAGAGGGCUUGCAUGUGUGCGUGAGUUAGGGAGGGGCAGAGAGAGAGGGAGGGAGAAAGAGAAUCCCAAGUGGGCUGCACGCAGUCACGCAGAGCCUGAUUUGAGGCUCAAACUCACAAACCAUGAGAUGAUGACCUGGGCUGAAAUCUAGAGUUGGAUGUUUAGCAGACUGAGACACCCAGGUGCCCCUGGUUAACUUCUUAUAUGUCUUCCUCUUCAUUUGUUAUUUUGCUGUGUCUACUCUGAUGCCACACCCAUCCAUGCAGUUUUUAAUUUCUGUGAUUGUACUUCUCAUUUCUAGGAUUCCAUUUGAUUUUCGUAUCUGCUAUAUGUUCAUUUCUUUAGAAUUUCCUGUCUCCUGCAGGUUGUCGAGUAGGUUUAUUCUUUUCAAACAAAAUAAACCAGGGGGUGUUUUUUGAUCUCUAAUAUUUCUAAUCUGUGAAGUCUGGGUCGGUCUCUAGUGUGUGUUUCUCCCUGCUGCUUCUCCCUCAUGGUACCUUGUGUAUUUGGUGAGCUUUUACUAUAGGCCACUUGGUAAAAUAGUUGCGUAGAUCUUCCAAGACAUAAAACCAAGGUGCAUAUUCCUCUAGGGAGGAUUUACACUUAUUUCUGCCUGGGGCUCAGGGAUACUGCCUGUGACUUUAAAGUCAUGCCUUGAGGCUGCAGAUCCUCCAUAGCCAGUGUUUACACCCCCUUCUAGGGGGUGGGUAUUUUUCUGGUUCUGCUUGGUACCACAGCAGGGCCUGCAGCCCUUUGUUUCGGGGAAGGAGGGCAGGUUUAUUAUCUGGUUUGCCUUUAUCCUAAGGUGUUAGCCCUUUGGGGCCACAGCUUAAUGUCCUAUGAGACUUCUCACUUUUGCUGGGCCCUGGAUUUUGACUUUGCCUUUUCUACUCUGCGAGCUCUCAAAACCCCUGCUCGUUUUCACAGCUUAGCUUAUUUGGAGAGGUAGAUGCCACAAGGGGAAAAGAGACCUUGGAUAUUCUGAUUCUCCUUGCUGCUGCUUAGAUUUUGGCCCGGAAGUUCUGUACUCUCUUGUAGUUCUUUGAUGCUCCUAUAAAGAGUAAAAAAAUAUUUAUCUCAGCUUUUUAAAAUAAACUAUUUAUUUUAGAAUAUUUAUAGACAUAUGGAAAAAUUGAGCACAUGGUACGGAGGGUUCUUAUAUGACCCAGACCCAGUUUCCCCUGUUACUAACAUUUUACAUGAUAUUUGUCACAGUACUUACAUAUUAUGAACCAGUAUUUAUACGUUACUAUUAACUGAGAUCCAUAGUUCAUUCAGAUUUUAGUUUUUGCCUCUUUCUGUUCCAGGAUCUCAUCCAGGAUCCUGUAUUAUUCAGUUGUCCUGUGUCCUUAGGCUCCUCUUGGCUAUGAUAGUUUCUCAGAUUUUCCUUGUUUUUGAUGAUCUCAGCAAUUUUAAGGAGUACAGGUCAGGUAUUUUGCAGUCUGUCUUUGGGAUUUGUCAGGUGUUUUCUCUUUGAUUAGACUGAGGUUAUGUGUUUUUUUGGGGGGUGGGGUGGGGGGAAGACCACAGGUAAAAUGCCAUUCACUUCACAUCCAGGGCACGUGCUCUCGAAUGACAUCACUUGGCUGAGGUAGUGUCUGUUAGGUUUCUCCACUGUGGGUUAACUUCUCCCUCGUCCACACUUGUAUGUACUCCAGGGAACGCGGUCACUGUGCAUAGCUCACACUUAAGGAACUGGAGUUAUGGUUCGCCUCCCUAAGGGCAGAGUUCUCUGCAGAAGCUACUUGGAUUUCUUCUGCAUGGGAGAUUUCUAGUCUCUCCUGCUUACAUCACUAGAGACUCAUGGGUAUUUAUUUUAUACUUUGGAUGAUAAUCUAGUCCUACUUUAUUUUGUUGCUGAAAUUGUUUUAGCUUUGGCCAUGCGGAACGUUUUCAGUUAGUUCCUCUGUCCCUUUGACACAACCUCGUCUUUGAUCAUUGACGUGUUGUUGUUUUUUAAGCCCAUCUGCACUUCCUGACACUACAGUGUUCUCCAGGUGUGUGUUGUACAUUUUCUGCCCUGGCCCUAGACUCCCAUCUUUUUUCUAAGCAGAUUUGAUUCCUGAUUCCUUUCAUUGGAGAAAUGAUAUCAGAAACCUGAAGCUAAGUAUGCUCAUUGCUGCUGCAGUGUCCUUGCUUCCCGGCCCUCUCAGUUGAUGGUGUGAGGAAGUACAUGUGCUUAUAUACACACAACUGGAAGUAUUUCUAUACAGGAUCAUCUAUAUCAAUAUCAAGUGAAACAGGAUCUUAUACUGGUGUCUCCAAGUGUAAUUCAUUACCACAUGAAUCAUUCUAGCCCUCUCCCCUGGCUUAUCUGUAACCAACAUGAGAAAACUGGUUCCCACCAUCUGCCAUCUGUAUCACUAUCAGUUAUUCUCAGUAACCAUUAUGACUGGAACCUGUUAACUUCCUCCUGUUUUUUAAAAAAAUGAAUGACAGUAUUAUACAAGCUGUUCUGUACUUUCAUGUUUCACUGGCAGACAUCUGUUGGACAUCUUUCCUUGCUCAUUCACACAGAUCUACCUCGUGUUUUUUGAAGGCUGCAUAAUAUUCCAUGGCACUAAUGUUCUUAUUGAACAUUUUGCCUAUUGAUGGCCAUCCAGGCUAUUUCCAAUUUCUUGCUACACAAUCCUGCAGCAGGAUUACAUUGUUUCUGUGAACACGUGGCAGGAUUUCACUGAAGCGAGGACUUGAUCCAAGGGUAUGGAUGUUUAAAAAUCUCAUUCGUCAAGUUGCCCUCCUCCAAAGACUGAGCCAGUUUACAUGCUCAUCAUAUGCACAAAUACGGUUUCCUGAUACCAGCUGCAAGGGAGAGACCAGUAGCUGUCAACCUUUGAAUUUUGCCAGUCAUGUGAAGGGAAUUUGCUCUUUGUCGUAGGCACAGCAAAUCUGUUUUCCUAACUCUAGGGAGGUGUAUCUUGGUCCACAUGUUUACCUUUAUACAUGGUCCGUUUUUCCCUUUUCUCCUGGGAUUGUCAUGCAUGGAAAGCCUUCUCAUCUUCCAUGUUCUGAGUACUUCGUGUGGUUUUCUUCAAAAACCCCAGACAUGCAAACAGGCAUACCGUACACCCACAUACGUGGCACCUAAGUGCGUAUUUUGAACUUUGUAUACACUACACUUGGUUUCCACUGUGCAGGGAGAUUUCUGUCACUAUCUGCUGUUCCAGUUUACUCAUUUUCAUUGGUGCUGAGUGAUGUGAACAUGUCUCAGAGGCACUUCUUGGUUUUCCUGCUGUUGGUCACUGAGGUUGUCUCCAGCGCUUUUACAAACAUGCUGGUGUGGCUCUUGAAGCACACGGGAGGGAUUCUCUGAGGUAGGCAUGGGAGUGGGCCUGCUGGGCUGGAUGGUGAGGACAUCCCUAAGUUCACUGUGGGGUAUUUGCUCUGCAGGGUAAAGACGGCCACCUUGUCAGCUGCCAGGCAUGAAAUGCUAGCUCCUUGUGAUUUCACCAUUGGGGCUGAACAUCUUAUAUUUAUGAGCCAUUCAGGUUUUCUUAUGUCAUUUAGCUAUUUUUCUUUUGGGGGCAUAGUUUCAUUUUUCAGAUCUUUUGAUCCAUUUGCAACUGAGUACAAGGGAUACAGCUGUGUUUUUCAAGAUGACCAGUGACACAAUGAAUAACCCACCCUUAACCUACUAAGCUGAAAUGCCACCUUUCCAAAUUGAGCAUUCAAAGGCUGGAGCUUUAAUGUUUGAGGGGUUUGGUGCACAUCCUUGCUGUUCUUUUUCUUCCUUCAUGUUUGUUAGAAUCAGUCUGACUAAAAUGUGUGCUAGUAUUUAUCACUAACCCAUGAAUUAUGUAUCAUCUAUCUCAAGAUGUUCAUUCCCCCUGAGUUAUUAAACUUUCCUAUGAACAAGAUACUACCAUUGAUCUAGUAAGACUCUCGGGGCUUUCUGUUCACUCCUAGGCAUUGUCCCUUCUCUUGCCGGAUUACAGUGACCAUCCAGACAGUGCUUAGUUAGCAAUAGCGGAUGGUGAGUAUAAUUCUGGUCGUGUCAGUACUUGUGGUUUAUUUUCCAGCAAUUAUGGCCUAUUUUAUAAAAAAUGAAAAAUUUUAUCAAAUGUUUCCUUCAUAUCUGUAGUUGCUAGGACUUGCAUUAUUAGGUUUACAGUAUCAUCUAUCCUUGCCUGUUUUUGUUUUGUUUUUCACAACAUAAGAAUCCUCUGCGGGGGUGGGGGCACCUGGGUGGUUAAGCAUCUGACUCUUGGUUUUGGCUCAAGUCAUGAUCUCGUGGUUUGUGGUUCGGGCACUGUAUCAGGCUCGGCGGCAUUGGUGCGGAGACUGCUUGGCAUUCUCUCUCUCCCUUUCUCUGCCCUUCCCCGGCUUGCUCUCUAUCAAAAAACACUUAAAAAAAAAAAAAACAAACAACUCAUCUUAGGGAAAUUAGGAAAUUAGAGAAACACCCCACCCCAACCCUGUGCCUGGUAGAGGAGCACUAAGUAACCAUCAAAUGGGUGAACGCUAGCGUUUGUUGAUCUGUUCACAGAAGUGUAGGAUUUUACAUUUGCCAUCUGAACAGUAUUAGAAGCAUCUCUCCAUUGGUACAUCCUCCAAGCUGCUGACAACUAUCUUUGAAAACCCCAACAAUAAGACAUUCACAUUUGGCUUUCCCCAUACUUGAAGGGAGACCAUUUUGCAGAUCUCGUGUCAUACAAGCAGACCUCCUACCACUUGGCUCUCCUACCCAGAAAGUCAAGUCUAAGACCUUCCCCCAGUGGAAGCCAAAACUCUUCAGGGUGCAAGACUGGAGGCCCUCAGUGCAUAUCACCCACCCCUCCUGCAUGAGAACACUCAGCACCACACUGUGAACUUAUCGUAGAAUAGAUUUAUUUACCUGAAACCAUGUCUGUGCAAUGCUUGUUGCUAUACCAGCACAGAAAUAAACAACUGAUCUCUAUUUACAGUCUAAAGUCAAACAUGCGUUGUGAUAAAUUGACGUUUAGCAUUUUAUUAAGAUAAAUGCAUCACAAUAUCUGUAUUGCACCAACAUCUGUCUACUGCUUCUGAUUUCAUUAAAUAAGUUACAUUUAAUACAGUGCAAAAUAGCUGUUUGCACACUCGAAAAAAAUAACUGAAGUUAUGAACUGGAGGCCUACGUUUUAACCUUUCAACACCUGCAGUGUUUUCAAUAAAUUUAUAAAUAAGCAAACUGUACAGAGCCAAUUAAAAAGUAGCAUGUUUAAAUGACACCAUAGAGAAAUCUAGCUACUUACAACUGAAGGCAUGCAUUACAAUUGAAUAUUGUACAUUUAUAUAAGCUAUGACAUUUUGCACAGAGAAAUAUGGAGACUUGGCUGAUGGCUUCUAAGUUCUUAGAUAAGGUUUCAAAACCUCAGUCUUCUUGCAGCAAAGAAACCAAAGUUCGCUGGAGAGGCUUUCUGAUUCAUUAAGCUAAAUUGUACAUUUGUAAUUAUUAUUUUGAUUUAAAAGCUAAACCCGUUGGUAAUACACGUUUCCUCCACAUAACACACAAUGAGUUGGGGACUUUUUUCUACUUUUCUUUUUCCCCCAACAUCAAUCAUGCAGAGGGCUGGUAGAUGUGUUGCUAAAAACGCACAUGCACGCAACCGAACACCCUUAUAUUUCUGCAAAAUGGUUUAGGAAGCGGUUACUCCAGUAUUGCUGAAAAGGAAAGAGAGAGGAAAUCAGCUUUAUGAAAUAUGGGGAGGAAAUGUUAGAAUAACCAUUUAAGAUUAAUAGUGACAAGGAAUGGUGAAAAGGAAUGUUCAGUUUGAUUUUUUUAAGAUUUCAAGACCAGCAUUUCUGAUUAACUGUCCCUGAGGUGCUGCCUACAUCAGGCAGCAGCCAGAAGCACUGGCUUGGUACAAACCCUUCAUGUCGCCUGGCUACACAGCAAAGGCCACCCUGGCUCAUGGAAGAACCCCACCAGGCAGACACAUUCUUGCUUCAGACACGGAAGGGCAACGGGCAAGAGGGGAAAGAGUUCUCGGUUAGCAGUGUGGACGGUAAGGAGGGUGACACACAGGCGAGCAGUGCGGCUGAGUGCGAAGCCUCUACCUCCCCUUCCUCCCCACCCCAUUCCUGUGGCUGGCUGAGCGGUGGUGGCUUUGACAAAAUUGGUGGUUAUGUUAAAAAGGCAACAGCUGAUUUGGCGGACUUAGCCCAUGGGCGCUGCGGACCCCUCUGGCUCUAGGCAGUGGGGAGCCACUUUACAGACCCCGAGCUAAUGCCUGUGGUCUCAUAUUCCAGAAGGUCUGCCGCCUAAAGGACAUUCAGGGAGCUGAGGCCCCUGUCUGAGGGUGAUGUGAUAGCAGCUGCUUGCGGGGAGGCUGGCACUCGCCCUGCUUGUCUGUGAGCUCACGCAGCUCUCUCUAGAAAGUAUCACCUGCACUGUGCAGAUGAGCGCCUGGAGGAUGUAUGACGUCGCCAUCUUUUAGGCAAAGGCCUAACCAAGAAGCCGUGCAAGGCCUACCUGCCCAUCGGUGAGAACACGAACAAGUUCUGGUAGGUCUGAAAAGGACACCGGUACUGAUGGCGGCAAAAGCAGAGGCCGCCUGGGAAUUUCCUGCAGGUGCUGGGUGAGGAUGGGUCUGGUCUGGGCACCUGCCCCUCACUGUGGGAGGCCUGAGGCCCUGGAUGCGUCCAGAACAGUACAACUGCUGAGGAGGCGCUGAUGUGGCAAAGCCUGAAGCAGAGGGCACAAGGGGAUGCUCCUAGCUGCCUAGGCUGAGGGAAGCGGGUGCUGAAACUGCCUCCAGGCUGGAUGGGCCUGAAGCUGAGAAACCACAAGGCAACAGCCUGCCCAGGCUGAUCUGGAGCUGUGCAUUUCUCCGACAGCAGCAAACAACAUUUAACUUCUUUUGUGAAGGCUACUACUUCGAGGAACCAAGUCAGGAAAAGCUAUUGGGUGAGUUUGGUUUCCAUUGAAUAGCACACCACCCAACAAGCUCAGACAUCCUGUUCUGGUUUGGAGCCAAGGCACACUCCUUGCAUUUGGUCCUUUUUAGGCCUCAUGAUGCCAAAACUGGCAAAACCCAUCCUCUUCCCUGUUACACGCUCUGCCAAACCGACCAACCUCCCUUUCUCAGAGACCUCAUGCAGUUAGGAUGGGACUUCAGUCCCCUUACACUCGGACCUUGCAAGUUGGCAGUACCCUGCCCCGCUUGAUGAUUCCCACCAACUCUCCCCCAAACUGGAAGCCUUUACAUCACAUCUUUUGGCUGGUCCCAGAUCUGGGCCCCCAGAGCCUUCACAGGAACACUCAGGGCCUCAUGGGGAGGGAGCUCCUGCUUAGGCCUCCUUUGCCCUGGCUCACGGACAAGGCUGGUUGCUAGCAGAGCCAUGCCCUAAAUAACUCUGCUUUAACGUACCCUGGAGAGAGAGAAGACAAGUCCCAGCUGCAAAGGAUAGGACCCAGAAGGUGAAAAGAGGUGGCCUACUUGAGACCAACCUAUUGGAUGCACGAACUGACUGGUUCAACUAUUUGCUUUCACUAGAUUUUUGCUUUUUAAUGAACCAGGUAGCAAGGUUCUUGGAUGAAUCCUUGCAGCUAGUAAAGACCAAAGAACCACAAGUUUUUGAGAGUCCUCAUCUUGGCAUUAGCAAAGGCAGCAUUCUCUCAGCCUGUAAGUUGGACCAAAGCAAAAUGAGCUUCUCUCUCCCCAGGCUCUCCCUGACAUCCGGCUGUGCCACUGACCAAGGCAGCGCAUGGAGCCUAUAGAUGUCACACCUCGCGUCAGCUAACCCAGCCCCCGUGUGCACAGGUACAGGAAAGAAAGGUGGAUACGUACCAGUUGGUAGAAGGACACCCUCGGACCCCCGUCGGCAGCAAUGAACCACCACGCGGCAGCACCCACAGUAGCAGCGCCAACGUAACCUGGUAACAGACACAGGCAGGGUUUGCAGCCCACAGCUUAUACUGCGGGCUCUGCCUCACAGGCCAAUCCCCCGCAGAGAUGAGACCUGGUUUGUCGAUGGCACUGGAGAGCUUUGCUGCCACUAGCAACUGCUCACUCACAUCAGCCCAAGCAGCUAGACGGUGGGUCUCUGCAAGGAGAGGGGUGUCUGGUACAGAAAAACCAGGCAACUUUUCUUCCAGAGUUUAUGAGAAAAAGGAAAUACUGCAACUGGCAGGGACCUCGACGACAGCCAUGCCUUCUCUAACUGGCGGCAGGUACACACAUACUCUAUGUAAGCCCUUGCUGUGUUGGCUCAGAUCACAGCACCCAGGACUUUUAGGGAAACUGAUGCUCCCAGGUGUACGCUUAUUUGCUCUAUCAAAGGCCUUGCAGAACCUUUACGUGGAAAUGCUGUCAGAGCAGUUAGUGCAGAACACAGGCAACAUGCCAAAAACCCAGAGCUGAUUCUGGGACCACCCUCCCUCCCAACCUAUCAGUUCUGAACUCAACAAGUUUACUACAAAGCAACGGGGUAGUGGAGAACAAGGGACCGGACACCGUGAAGAUGGUGCCGAUGCAGCAGCACCCCCCACCACGACACAGGUGCACCCCCUAACCCGGCAGCUAUGGGCAGGAAUGAGAGAGCUGGUGCAUGGGGACAAGGCAGCUCUACACACACCGAUGUGGCAACUCCCAGCAAACAGGGAAAGGUACACGGAGACAGGGGUCAACACACAGGUGUUUACAGCACACCAACACUUAUGAAAAUAAAUACAUGAAAUAGAUCUGUUUGCUAGACUUAUUUCUGGGAGGGCACAUGAAAAACCCAAUGCUGGAGGGCAACUGACUGGCUGAGAACCUUCUCACGCUAUGCCAGUGUCCUUUUUGAAUUUUAAAUCAUGCGAACUUAUGAAAACAAAACCAAAACACCUUCCUAUGGAACCCCAGGGAAGUUAUUUAAACUCUGUAGGCCUCACUUUUCUAAAGUUGGGGGACAAGAAUCAGCAGCUGGGCCAAGAGCACGAAGUCUACAGAAACAAUGUAUGUAGAGGAACAUGACCUGUGGUCGAGGCUCCUGUGUGUUUACCAACCUCUGCAGAUCAAUGCACAUCACCCUUCUCUACUCAGGGGGAGCAGGGCUUAGUUUCAUAGCUUCGGGAUGUAAGGCCUGACCCUGACUCACCCCUAUAUCCCUUUGCCCUUAGAUUAAAUCUGAAAAUCUCAUUCACAAAGGCCCAAGGGAUAAGGAUGCUAAAACAAGGGACUAACUUUCCUGUAAACUGGACAUACAGUUUACUGAACUCCAUUUUUUGCUACCCUAAUAUGGGGAUAGAAGAAAAAAAUGUGUGUUAAGGGAUGAAUUUACAAAACCUUGGCUUAUGAAGAUUACGUUUAAACAUCAACAACAUAGGGGCGCCUGUGUGGCUCUCAGUUAAGCAUCCGACUUCAGCUCAGGUCAUGAUCUCACAGCUUGUGAGUUCAAGCCCCGCGUCGGGCCUCUGUGCUGGCAGCUGAGAGCCCGGAGCCUGCUUGGGAUUCUGUGUCUCGCUCUCUCUUGGCCCCUCCCCUGCUCAUGCUCUUUCAAAAAUAAGUAACAUUAAAAAAAAAUUUUUUUUAAAUCAAGAAUAUAAAAAACUGUACUCACAGCCAAUAGCUAGGUAACGGAAAAAGAGCCAUCCGCUGAUCAGUGGUUCCUUCGGGUUCCGGGGUGGUUUGUUCAUGAUGUCCAGAUCAGGUGGGUUAAACCCCAGUGCAGUGGCAGGCAGGCCGUCUGUCACCAGAUUGACCCAGAGCAGCUGGACAGGAAUUAAAGCCUCAGGAAAUCCAAGGGCUGCAGUCAGGAAAAUACUGUUUCCACCCAAAGAAAGAGAAAGACCCCAAAUUAUUUUUGGCCACUAUUUAAAUAGCAUUAGUACCCUCUCCUCCUCCCAAAAUCAAUGGACAGUAACAAUGACUGCUUGAAAUAACUUUUUUUGGCCAUCAUCAAACACUCAGUAUACCUAAUUUUGAGUUAAAGUAAAAUGUUAGAAGGCCAUAGUUAAACUCAUUUCUAUGUUCUAGGGUAUCCUUCACCGCCCAAGACAGCCAAAGACAGCUCUCCAGUGAGCCAAAUGAACCUCUACCUUCCUUCCUCUCACCUGGCCCUCCCUCCCGACUCCUGCACAAAGACCAAAGCUGCUGCCACAUGAACAAAUCUGGAAAACUGGUCAUCCCAAGCCAAUUUUAGAAAAAAGACUACAAGUGCUCUUUCGCAGGGACCCACCAGACAACUUCCCCCACAUUCGAAGAGAUGAGGUAGCGGAUAAACUGCUUCAUAUUGUUGUAAAUCGCCCGCCCCUCCUCGACAGCAGCCACAAUGGUGGAGAAGUUGUCGUCAGCCAGGACCAUCUCAGAGGCGGUUUUAGCCACUGCCGUGCCAGAGCCCAUGGCAAUGCCAAUCUCCGAUUUCUUCAGGGCGGGAGCAUCAUUCACACCAUCCCCGGUCUGAAAGGGAAUGCGAGAACUGGUUUCUGCACACCUGCCAUCACCUCACACACGCACCCCGACAAAGGCUUCACUGUCCUGAAGCAAGGGCAAUGAAUGGAGCCUUGGGCUUCUGGGCACAGUUAGAGAAUUUUCAGUUUUACAAAUUGGUGUCACAAAAUGCACUUCACCUGGGAAACGUACAACUGGUGAAUGAGCUUACCGAAGAGACUUCGGAGGGAAGUGGCACAAAGGGGACUUCAAAUUCUUCUGUAUUAUUUUUUUACCAAACAAAACACAAAACCACCCACGCGGCAGUAAAGAUGAAGCACAUGUAUCACACAGACAAAUCUCAAGUACAAUAGGUGCACUAUUCUAGGAAACUAGAACAUGCCAUUUACAAAGAUCAGAAAAAUACUAAAUAUCGUCUACAGAUACA
RNA transcript from Panthera uncia (snow leopard), 12962 nucleotides. It is a transcript of the gene named anaphase promoting complex subunit 7, with no coding region annotated. The record is from RefSeq and is a predicted model, not a curated record. The transcript has 12 exons. Lineage: Eukaryota; Metazoa; Chordata; Mammalia; Carnivora; Felidae.